GUACUGGCUUCUGCAACACACGUACUAAAACUGGAACAGCAUGGAGAAGAUUAGCAUGGCCCUUGUGCGAGACUGACACAUAAUUCAUCAUGAAUUCUAUAAUUUU
Acomys russatus (golden spiny mouse) is the source of this 106-nucleotide small nuclear RNA. The record is from RefSeq and is a predicted model, not a curated record. Lineage: Eukaryota; Metazoa; Chordata; Mammalia; Rodentia; Muridae.